CAAGUUUGGGAUAACCAGUCGAAAGAUUGGCUAAUACCGGAUAAGACCACAGGAUCUGCGGAUCUAGGGGUUAAAGGUUUUUUCGCUUGAGGAUGAGCCCCAUAUGGGAUUAGCUAGUUGGUAAGGUAAUGGCUUACCAAGGCUACGAUCCCUAACUGGUCUUAGAGGAUGAUCAGUCACACUGGAACUGAGACACGGUCCAGACUCCUACGGGAGGCAGCAGUAGGGAAUAUUGCACAAUGGGGGAAACCCUGAUGCAGCGACGCCGCGUGAGUGAUGAAGGCCUUCGGGUCGUAAAGCUCUGUCGUAUGGGACUAACAAAAUGAAGGUACCAUGCAAGAAAGGAUCGGCUAACUUCGUGCCAGCAGCCGCGGUAA
This 377-nucleotide ribosomal RNA is filed under the name uncultured delta proteobacterium. RNAcentral describes it as "bacterial SSU rRNA". It matches the Rfam family "Bacterial small subunit ribosomal RNA", at positions 133 to 523 of the family's 1533-position model. The record is from RNAcentral. Lineage: Bacteria; Deltaproteobacteria.